ACAGGGUGACAGGUGGUGCAUGGUUGUCGUCAGCUCGUGUCGUGAGAUGUUGGGUUAAGUCCCGCAACGGGCGCAACCCUUAUCUUUAAUUGCCAGCAUUCAGUUGGGCACUUUAAAGAGACUGCCGGUGUUAAACCGGAGGAAGGUGGGGAUGACGUCAAGUCCUCAUGGCCUUUAUGUCCAGGGCUACACACACGCUACAAUGGUCUGUACAAUGGGUAGCCAAGCCGCGAGGCGGAGCCAAUCCUGAAAGCAGGCCUCAGUUCAGAUUGCAGUCUGCAACUCGACUGCAUGAAGCCGGAGUUGCUAGUAACCGCAGGUCAGCAAUACUGCGGUGAAUACGUUCCCGGGUCUU
Molecule: ribosomal RNA, 355 nt
Filed under: uncultured Syntrophus sp.
Lineage: Bacteria; Pseudomonadati; Thermodesulfobacteriota; Syntrophia; Syntrophales; Syntrophaceae
Description: bacterial SSU rRNA
Rfam family: Bacterial small subunit ribosomal RNA
Source: RNAcentral